Nomascus leucogenys (northern white-cheeked gibbon) is the source of this 921-nucleotide RNA transcript. It is a transcript of the gene named sodium-coupled neutral amino acid transporter 5-like, with no coding region annotated. NCBI's taxonomy places the organism in Eukaryota, Metazoa, Chordata, Mammalia, Primates, Hylobatidae. The transcript has 5 exons. The record is from RefSeq and is a predicted model, not a curated record.
CCUCCAAGCGCAGGAUGCAGGCCGUGCCAACGUGUCUAUUGGGGCCAUGUUCUGCAUGUAUGGGCUCACAGCAACCUUUGGAUACCUCACCUUCUACAGCAGCGUGAAGGCGGAGAUGCUGCACAUGUACAGCCAGAAGGACCCGCUCAUCCUCUGCGUGCGCCUGCCGUGCUGCUCGCGGUGACCCUCACUGUGCCAGUCGUGCUGUUCCCUAUCCGCCGGGCCCUGCAGCAGCUGCUUUUCCCAGGCAAGGCCUUCAGCUGGCCACGACAUGUGGCCAUAGCUCUGAUCCUGCUUGUUUUGGUCAAUGUCCUUGUCAUUUGUGUGCCAACCCAUCCGGGAUAUCUUUGGAGUUAUCGGGUCCACCUCAGCCCCUAGCCUCAUCUUCAUCCUCCCCAGCAUCUUCUACCUCCGCAUCGUACCUUCUGAGGUGGAGCCUUUCUUAUCCUGGCCCAAGAUCCAGGCCCUGUGCUUUGGAGUCCUGGGAGUCCUCUUCAUGGCUGUCAGUCUAGGCUUUAUGUUUGCCAACUGGGCCACAGGCCAGAGCCGCAUGUCUGGACACUGAUCAGGCCCUGCUGGCCCAGGUCCCUGUGCGCAUGCACAUGGAGGGGUCGGGGCCACUCCCUAGGGUCCCUCCUGCCCGGCAUGUGGAGGUGGCUGGUUCCCAUGAACGUGGUUGUCAGAGGCGGGGGACAGCAGAGGUUGCAGACUGGCCCACUUCCCUCCUCCCCAGGGAUGCCAAGCUUGGAUCAUGGCCCUAAUCCCAACCCCAACCCCAUGGGAGGAGGAAGAGGAGGAGGAGGAGGCCAGGUCCUGGUGGAGCCUUUACCCAGCCCAGUCCUCUCUGCCUCCUCCUGGCUGAAGCUGUUUGUCAGGAUUACCCUCGGGCUAAAGAGGAAAAAUAAAGAUGUUGAGCUACCA